This 285-nucleotide ribosomal RNA is filed under the name uncultured bacterium. RNAcentral describes it as "partial 16S ribosomal RNA". It matches the Rfam family "Bacterial small subunit ribosomal RNA", at positions 9 to 295 of the family's 1533-position model. The record is from RNAcentral.
GAGUUUGAUCCUGGCUCAGGACGAACGCUGGCGGCGUGCUUAACACAUGCAAGUCGAGCGGUAAGGCUCCUUCGGGAGUACACGAGCGGCGAACGGGUGAGUAACACGUGAGCAAUCUGCCCUUCACAUCGGAAUAACUUCGGGAAACCGAAGCUAAUACCGAAUACGACCACCGAUGGCAUCAUCUGGUGGUGGAAAGUUCUGGCAGUGAAGGAUGAGCUCGCGGCCUAUCAGCUUGUUGGUGAGGUAAUGGCUCACCAAGGCGACGACGGGUAGCCGGCCUGA